Molecule: long non-coding RNA, 520 nt
Organism: Scylla paramamosain (green mud crab)
Lineage: Eukaryota; Metazoa; Arthropoda; Malacostraca; Decapoda; Portunidae
Exons: 3
Source: RefSeq, a predicted model, not a curated record
CUUCCCUCUGUUGUCCUGAGAAGCACGCUUGAAUCUAGCUCACAGUCGUUCACAGUGAAGUGGGUCAUUGUGACUACCUCCUCUGACUCCUGCAGUGAAGGGAUAACGAGAGGUGCUGGAUUACGGGAAGAACAAGAGUGAAUUGUGAAGUGAAGUAAGAAAUACUACAUAAUACUGAAUGGCCAGCCUCAGUUCGCCAUGGAGUUGAAGGCGGUGAAGAGGAAGGUGAAGGCGAGGGAGAUAAUCAGAACAUUCUUCAUGAUGGCCCGCUGCUGUGCUGGAUCGCCCUCUGUGUUCUCCUGCACCACCACCUCGGUCAAGUCAGAGCCAUUGUCCACCUUUUUAAAGUUCGCUGAGGCCUCCGUUUGCACUGUGGAGAGAAUCAAGUGAGAUAGGAACACUUCGCUGACCACAUCGGAGCGGCGCCGAGCCCCAACAAGAUGGCUGUUGGCACCAUUGUGGCCAGUGUUGGGUAGAACUGAGCGGCGAUGUAUGAAGAGUAACCCAGCAUGCAGACUGC